RNAcentral lists this ribosomal RNA (253 nucleotides) under uncultured bacterium. RNAcentral describes it as "partial 16S ribosomal RNA". It matches the Rfam family "Bacterial small subunit ribosomal RNA", at positions 524 to 776 of the family's 1533-position model. The record is from RNAcentral.
UACGUAGGGUGCAAGCGUUGUCCGGAAUUAUUGGGCGUAAAGAGCUCGUAGGCGGUUUGUCGCGUCUGCUGUGAAAACCCAGGGCUUAACCCUGGGCCUGCAGUGGGUACGGGCAGACUAGAGUGCGGUAGGGGAGAUCGGAAUUCCUGGUGUAGCGGUGAAAUGCGCAGAUAUCAGGAGGAACACCGAUGGCGAAGGCAGGUCUCUGGGCCACUACUGACGCUGAGAAGCGAAAGCGUGGGGAGCGAACAGG